RNAcentral lists this ribosomal RNA (361 nucleotides) under uncultured bacterium. RNAcentral describes it as "partial 16S ribosomal RNA". It matches the Rfam family "Bacterial small subunit ribosomal RNA", at positions 338 to 696 of the family's 1533-position model. The record is from RNAcentral.
CCUACGGGGGGCAGCAGUGAGGAAUAUUGGUCAAUGGACGCAAGUCUGAUCCAGCCAUGCCGCGUGCAGGAAGACGGCUCUAUGAGUUGUACACUGCUUUUGUACGAGGGUAAACGCAGAUGCGCGUAUCUGUCUGAAAGUAUGGUACGAAUAAGGAUCGGCUAACUCCGUGCCAGCAGCCGCGGUAAUACGGAGGAUUAAAGCGUUAUCCGGAUUGAUUGUGUUGAAAGGGUACGCAGGGGGUCGAGUAAGUUAGAGGUGAUAUCCCCGGGCUGAACUUGGGAAUUGCCUCUGAUACUGUUCGGCUAGAGAGUAGUAGCGGUGGGCAGAAUUCAAGGGGUAGCGGUGAAAUGCGUAGAGA